Molecule: non-coding RNA, 1333 nt
Organism: Manis javanica (Malayan pangolin)
Lineage: Eukaryota; Metazoa; Chordata; Mammalia; Pholidota; Manidae
Source: RefSeq, a predicted model, not a curated record
AAGGUGGCAGAAUAGAAGGAACUGGGGCUUUUUGGCUGUGGGGCCAGCAGGAGAAAAGCGAAGUCCCCAGGAGACUCUUCCAGUAACUGGAGCUCCCAUGAGGCAGCUGCCUCCAGCAAGGCCGGUUAGGGUUCGGGCAUCUUGGGCCUGCAUCUGGGCCGGGCCCCCCCACCCUUGCUGUGCUGGGUUCACUCUGCACACAGCCUUCUCCAGGGCGUGGAGUUUGAGGGCUGCCCUCUGCAGGGCUUGGCCCACAGCCCUCCCUGGAGAUGGAGCCCCCAACUCCACAGGGGCAGGGGGCGGGAGGGGGAGCUCCCUGGAACCCAGCGCCGUGGCCCCGUGCAGUCCCUACCCCGGGUGCCCUUAGGCGGCCAGCAGUCCAGGGCCCAGCCCAGCAGGCUGAGGUCACCAUGGGUGUCUCCUGCUAGGUGUGCAGCCACCACUGGCUGAAUGCUUGCUUCCUCCCGGGAACACAGAGUGCUUUUCACACAGGCCUCAAGUGGCCCCACGGCUGUCUGGGGGUGGCUGCCAGCAUUAUCUCCAUUUUGCAGAUAAAGAAAUACCCCCAGAGGUGCCUGAGGGCGGGUGUCAGCCUGCCGGUGCCCCUGCUAACAGCUCCCCCAGGGCGCCUGCCUUCUCCUGGGCCUCAAAGCCGGGCCUCUGCCACCUCGGCUCCCUGGGGCCUGUGGGGUGGGGGCAUCUGGGCGCCUCUGAGCCCUGCCCUCUGAGGCUGACCUGAGGGCCAGGGGAGGGAGGCUGGGCCUGCUGGCUUGGGGUACCUCAGUUCCUCCCAACCCCUAACUUCCGAGGUAAUAAGCUGGGAACAUGACAGCUGCCUCCAGGCAGCCCUGAAGCCCUUGAAGAACAGAGACUGGGCUGGCCCUCCCAGUGGCCUCGGCUGCAGGGACCAGGCACAGGGCAUGGCCCUGCUCCCAUGUGGCCCUCGGCUCCCUGGCCGGUGGUAUGGAUUCGCUGAUUAAGGAUUCAGAUCGCACAGCUGGCACUUUAAGAAAACCGGAGGUGCCUGUGCUUCACAACAGAGAUCACCCUAGGCCCUCACCCAUCUGGGACCCAGGAAUGCCAGUCAGCUGCCCGGCACACGACAGGUCCUCUUCCUGGCUCACCCUCUGAUCGUGUGAGGCGCCCUGCUUCUGUGUGCAGCAGAGUCCAGCAGGGGCUGGGAGCCCACCCUGGCACAGCAGUGGAACCAGACAGGAGCCCAGAAGAGCAGAAAAACAGGACAUGAAUCACUGGUCACAAUCACUUGGACUGUCAAGAUGGGUCCUCACAGCGAGCGGUUACUACAGACGGCAAUUUUUAAAACAGGCAGAUU